UACGUAGGGGGCUAGCGUUGUCCGGAAUCAUUGGGCGUAAAGCGCGUGUAGGCGGUCCGGUAAGUCCGCUGUGAAAGUCGGGGGCUCAACCCUCGGAUGCCGGUGGAUACUGUCGGGCUUGAGUACGGAAGAGGCGAGUGGAAUUCCUGGUGUAGCGGUGAAAUGCGUAGAUAUCUGGAGGAACACCGGUGGCGAAGGCGGCAUCCUGGACCGAUACUGACGCUGAGGAGCGAAAGCCAGGGGAGCAAACGGG
This 253-nucleotide ribosomal RNA is filed under the name uncultured bacterium. Its description in RNAcentral is "partial 16S ribosomal RNA". It matches the Rfam family "Bacterial small subunit ribosomal RNA", at positions 524 to 776 of the family's 1533-position model. The record is from RNAcentral.